GAUGAAGAACGCAGCGAAAUGCGAUACGUAAUGUGAAUUGCAGAAUUCAGUGAAUCAUCGAGUCUUUGAACGCACAUUGCGCCCCCUGGUAUUCCGGGGGGCAUGCCUGUCCGAGCGUCAUUGCUGCCCUCAAGCACGGCUUGUGUGUUGGGCCUCCGUCCUCCUCCCGGGGGACGGGCCCGAAAGGCAGCGGCGGCACCGCGUCCGGUCCUCGAGCGUAUGGGGCUUCGUCACCCGCUCUUGUAGGCCCGGCCGGCGCUUGCCGACACAUCAAUCUUUUUUCCACGUUGACCUCGGAUCAGGUAGGGAUACCCGCUGAACUUAAGCAUAUCAAUAAGCGGAGGA
Molecule: unclassified non-coding RNA, 345 nt
Filed under: soil metagenome
Description: partial contains 5.8S ribosomal RNA, internal transcribed spacer 2, and large subunit ribosomal RNA
Rfam family: 5.8S ribosomal RNA (bases 1-120)
Source: RNAcentral